UUAGUGGUUUCGGGGGGAGUAUGCAUCCUUGUGAUAUUGAAGUUUUCCUACCUCGCCAGAAAGUGAAUGCCCACCCUAAGAAGGCAGGAAAUCAUUACUAGGGUAUCAAGUCCUAGUAUGACCAUAAAGAUAAAAAAUUAUUGAAUCUGAGAAUACCUAAUGUGGCAGAAAAAGAUAUUAAUUGACUGCUUUCUUGCUAUAAGCAUUACUUAAUUUAAAGCCUGCUACAGGAAAAGACGAAAUGAACUUAAACAGAAGAAACCUAGAUGUAACUAAUUUGGAUAAAAUUUGUCACCUGCUCAAAC
Long non-coding RNA from Zophobas morio, 305 nucleotides. RefSeq lists it as uncharacterized. Lineage: Eukaryota; Metazoa; Arthropoda; Insecta; Coleoptera; Tenebrionidae. The record is from RefSeq and is a predicted model, not a curated record. The transcript is spliced from 4 exons.